UUGCACGCUGGCGGCAUGCUUUACCCAUGCAAGUCGAACGGCAGCGCGGGCUUCGGCCUGGCGGCGAGUGGCGAACGGGUGAGUAAUGCAUUGGAACGUGCCCAGUAGUGGGGGAUAGCCCGGCGAAAGCCGGAUUAAUACCGCAUACGACCUGAGGGUGAAAGCGGGGGACCGAAAGGCCUCGCGCUAUUGGAGCGGCCGAUGUCGGAUUAGCUAGUUGGUGGGGUAAAGGCUUACCAAGGCGACGAUCCGUAGCUGGUCUGAGAGGACGACCAGCCACACUGGGACUGAGACACGGCCCAGACUCCUACGGGAGGCAGCAGUGGGGAAUUUUGGACAAUGGGGGCAACCCUGAUCCAGCCAUGCCGCGUGCGGGAAGAAGGCCUUCGGGUUGUAAACCGCUUUUGUUCGGGAAGAAAUCCUCUGGGCUAAUACCCCGGGGGGAUGACGGUACCGGAAGAAUAAGCACCGGCUAACUACGUG
This 483-nucleotide ribosomal RNA is filed under the name uncultured bacterium. RNAcentral's name for it is "partial 16S ribosomal RNA". It matches the Rfam family "Bacterial small subunit ribosomal RNA", at positions 29 to 507 of the family's 1533-position model. The record is from RNAcentral.